This 253-nucleotide ribosomal RNA is filed under the name uncultured bacterium. Its description in RNAcentral is "partial 16S ribosomal RNA". It matches the Rfam family "Bacterial small subunit ribosomal RNA", at positions 524 to 776 of the family's 1533-position model. The record is from RNAcentral.
UACGUGGGGGGUAAGCGUUGUUCGGAAUUACUGGGCGUAAAGGGCUCGUAGGCGGCCAACUAAGUCAUACGUGAAAUCCCUCAGCUUAACUGGGGAACUGCGUGUGAUACUGGAUGGCUUGGAUUUGGGAGAGGGAUGCGGAAUUCCAGGUGUAGCGGUGAAAUGCGUAGAUAUCUGGAGGAACACCGGUGGCGAAGGCGGCAUCCUGGACCGAUACUGACGCUGAGGAGCGAAAGCCAGGGGAGCAAACGGG